CCCUGGUUAGCUCAGUUGGUAAAGCGCUCCACUGGAAAUGGAGAGGUCCCGGGUUCGAUACCCGGACCAGGCG
Molecule: transfer RNA, 73 nt
Filed under: Ixodes scapularis (black-legged tick)
Lineage: Eukaryota; Metazoa; Arthropoda; Arachnida; Ixodida; Ixodidae
Description: tRNA-Ser
Rfam family: tRNA
About the family: Transfer RNA (tRNA) molecules are approximately 80 nucleotides in length. Their secondary structure includes four short double-helical elements and three loops (D, anti-codon, and T loops).
Source: RNAcentral